UAAUAAAAGUGAAUUUUAUGGCACUUUUAAAACAAUCCAUAUCCACCUUGUGUGCAAUGUUUUUUUUUUUAAAUAAACUCAUUUUUUUAAUAUGUUUUUAUCUGAAAUAUUUUUUAUGAAUUUACUUAAUUCUAAAAUA
This 139-nucleotide unclassified non-coding RNA is filed under the name uncultured Mortierellaceae. RNAcentral's name for it is "sequence contains ITS1". Lineage: Eukaryota; Fungi; Mortierellomycota; Mortierellomycetes; Mortierellales; Mortierellaceae. The record is from RNAcentral.